Molecule: ribosomal RNA, 274 nt
Filed under: uncultured bacterium
Lineage: Bacteria
Description: partial 16S ribosomal RNA
Rfam family: Bacterial small subunit ribosomal RNA
Source: RNAcentral
AUACAGAGGGUGCAAGCGUUAAUCGGAAUUACUGGGCGUAAAGCGCGCGUAGGCGGUUAUUUAAGUUGGAUGUGAAAGCCCCGGGCUCAACCUGGGAACUGCAUCCAAAACUGGGUAACUAGAGUAUGGUAGAGGGUAGUGGAAUUCCCGGUGUAGCGGUGAAAUGCGUCGAUAUCGGGAGGAACACCAGUGGCGAAGGCGACUACCUGGACCAAUACUGACGCUGAGGUGCGAAAGCGUGGGGAGCAAACAGGAUUAGAAACCCCAGUAGUCC